Molecule: Y RNA, 95 nt
Filed under: Aotus nancymaae (Ma's night monkey)
Lineage: Eukaryota; Metazoa; Chordata; Mammalia; Primates; Aotidae
Description: Y RNA (ENSANAG00000013462.1)
Rfam family: Y RNA
About the family: Y RNAs are components of the Ro ribonucleoprotein particle (Ro RNP), in association with Ro60 and La proteins. The Y RNAs and Ro60 and La proteins are well conserved, but the function of the Ro RNP is not known.
Source: Rfam by way of RNAcentral
GGCUGGUCCAAAUGCAGUGGUUACAACUAACUGACCACAACCAGUUACAGAUUUGUUUCCUCUCCACUCCUACUGCUUCACUUGGCUAGCCUGUA